UGGGGAAUUUUGGACAAUGGGCGAAAGCCUGAUCCAGCAAUGCCGCGUGUGUGAAGAAGGCCUUCGGGUUGUAAAGCACUUUUGUCCGGAAAGAAAUCCUUGGCUCUAAUACAGUCGGGGGAUGACGGUACCGGAAGAAUAAGCACCGGCUAACUACGUGCCAGCAGCCGCGGUAAUACGUAGGGUGCAAGCGUUAAUCGGAAUUACUGGGCGUAAAGCGUGCGCAGGCGGUUUGCUAAGACCGAUGUGAAAUCCCCGGGCUCAACCUGGGAACUGCAUUGGUGACUGGCAGGCUAGAGUAUGGCAGAGGGGGGUAGAACUUCCACGUGUAGCAGUGAAAUGCGUAGAGAUGUGGAGGAAUACCGAUGGCGAAGG
RNAcentral lists this ribosomal RNA (375 nucleotides) under uncultured bacterium. RNAcentral's name for it is "partial 16S ribosomal RNA". It matches the Rfam family "Bacterial small subunit ribosomal RNA", at positions 355 to 721 of the family's 1533-position model. The record is from RNAcentral.